UGCAGUCGACGGUAACAUUUCUAGCUUGCUAGUAAGAUGACGAGUGGCGGACGGGUGAGUAAUGCUUGGGAACUUGCCUUUGCGAGGGGGAUAACAGUUGGAAACGACUGCUAAUACCGCAUAAUGUCUUCGGACCAAACGGGGCUUCGGCUCCGGCGCAAAGAGAGGCCCAAGUGAGAUUAGCUAGUUGGUAAGGUAACGGCUUACCAAGGCGACGAUCUCUAGCUGUUCUGAGAGGAAGAUCAGCCACACUGGGACUGAGACACGGCCCAGACUCCUACGGGAGGCAGCAGUGGGGAAUAUUGCACAAUGGGGGAAACCCUGAUGCAGCCAUGCCGCGUGUGUGAAGAAGGCCUUCGGGUUGUAAAGCACUUUCAGUUGUGAGGAAAAGUUAGUAGUUAAUACCUGCUAGCCGUGACGUUAACAACAGAAGAAGCACCGGCUAACUCCGUGCCAGCAGCCGCGGUAAUACGGAGGGUGCGAGCGUUAAUCGGAAUUACUGGGCGUAAAGCGCACGCAGGCGGUUUGUUAAGCUAGAUGUGAAAGCCCCGGGCUCAACCUGGGAUGGUCAUUUAGAACUGGCAGACUAGAGUCUUGGAGAGGGGAGUGGAAUUCCAGGUGUAGCGGUGAAAUGCGUAGAUAUCUGGAGGAACAUCAGUGGCGAAGGCGACUCCCUGGCCAAAGACUGACGCUCAUGUGCGAAAGUGUGGGUAGCGAACAGGAUUAGAUACCCUGGUAGUCCACACCGUAAACGCUGUCUACUAGCUGUGUGUGUCUUUU
Molecule: ribosomal RNA, 780 nt
Filed under: Alteromonas macleodii
Lineage: Bacteria; Pseudomonadati; Pseudomonadota; Gammaproteobacteria; Alteromonadales; Alteromonadaceae
Description: bacterial SSU rRNA
Rfam family: Bacterial small subunit ribosomal RNA
Source: RNAcentral